Alligator sinensis (Chinese alligator) is the source of this 1664-nucleotide long non-coding RNA. RefSeq lists it as uncharacterized. The transcript has 3 exons. NCBI's taxonomy places the organism in Eukaryota, Metazoa, Chordata, Crocodylia, Alligatoridae. The record is from RefSeq and is a predicted model, not a curated record.
ACCAGCAUUCUGUACUGUAGAGGAGUUGUUGAUUUAGUAAAAAUCUCCAAAUCAUGCUGCUUUUCCUCACAACCAUAGUAUCCCUUUGGCUUCUGAUAAUGUCUUCCUUAAUAUCCCCUGGAUGGAUGCCACCUUCAGCAUGCAAGAAAUUCCCCUCUCCCACAAAUGGAUUUUUGUACUGUUGAUCUGACUACUGUAUUGUUUGUUGCAAAGAUGGUUUCCAGUUUGAGAAUGAACCUGCAAGUGGCUAUUUCUGCCAUCCAACAGGAGUGUGGACUGCUGUGCCACCUGAAAAAAGUGUCCCUUGGCUUAACUGCACAUUGAAAGGACACGGCUGUGUGCACCUGGGUUAUUCCCAGGAUAUGCUGUGAUAUGCACUCUCUCCAGCUACCUACUGGUGAAGGAGCAUCAAGGCAAUGCGGGACAGUAGCAUGUGUAAAUGAUUUUGCCAUGCCUGUUUUGAUCCAGUACAAAUGCCAGGACAACCAGGCCUGCAUCAAAUGUGAUACCUAGUUACAUCCUUAGAUGUGUUCAACCUUAGUCCCACUGGAGCCAGUGGGAGCUUUACCACUGAGAAUGGCAAAUUAUAGGCAACCUUGCUAGAACAAGCCCUUUUUCUUAUGCUUAGUUCUGGCAAGAUUUUAAUGAACUUUUAGGGGCUAGUAAGCCUUCGCAGAAACAAGUAGAGAAUGAAAUAUGGAUAACAACACACAUAGGCAGUACCAUGUUCUCAUUAAUAUGGAAUGUAAAGAGGCAUAUAAAGACCACGCUUAUGUCUUUUUAUGUAUGUUUUUGAUGGAAUAAGAGUAUUGUUAUAUCUGUGAUACACUAAAAGAUUAUGCAAUAUGUCAUAGGGACACACUGAACUUGAUUAAAAGAUAUAUGCAUGGGUAAUCCCAAUGAGGUGAAUAUGACUAUUCAAGUAAACCACAGCUUUCCAGGAGGAAUAAAUAAUUUACUUUUUGUCCCAUAAUAUAAUUUUUAUAAGAAGUAUUUGUGCUAACAUUUGCAUUUAUUUAUGCCUAAAUGGCAUCUGAACUCUACUAAGAACCUGGUCAUUAAUGUGUGCUGAGCAUUUCAAAAUCUAGACCUCAGGUUUCUUGAAAAUCUGUCACAAACUGAGCAUGAAUAAUAUAAAUGAAAAGGGGGGACCCCUGCACUUUUCACCCAACAUCAACCUCACACACAUUUCUAAGUUAAUCUUUUUUUGUUCACAGCAUAAAUACUGGGCUAUUUAAAUAUAGUAGCAAUCAUAAUGUUGACACAAGAACUGAUUUGAUCAAGAACAGUGGUAUCAAUAGACACUUCAGCACAUCGCUUUUUUCUUCCAGUGCAGCACCCCUCUCUCAACAGACAGGAGCUAGUGGUAUUUGUUGCAAUAUGUCACUUGAUGUUAUUGCAUUGAAAAGUGGCCCAGUACCUGAAAAGCAACGAUGAUAUGAAAUGUAAGAAGGAAAUGGGCCAAAACAAAAGAGGAAAACAUGUAAAAAUGAAAAUUUUAUUCAUACAAGUUCUGGAUAGAGCAUUGAUACAUUGUCUGGACUGCCUGUCCAAACUGAGCUUGAGCUCUUAAACCUUUUCGAGCUUUGUGUAUCAAUAGGCAAUAUUGAAGUGUCAUUGAAGUGAUCUGUGCCAUGUAUGUACACAGUGUUACUCAGAAUAAA